This is a long non-coding RNA of Lolium perenne, 329 nucleotides long. RefSeq lists it as uncharacterized. NCBI's taxonomy places the organism in Eukaryota, Viridiplantae, Streptophyta, Magnoliopsida, Poales, Poaceae. The record is from RefSeq and is a predicted model, not a curated record.
CCCUCCCGAAUGAAGAGGGUCUGAGCUCGACAUCUCUUCGCAUUGGAGCGAGGACGAACUUCUUUCGUUCCCCCAAGACCAAAGCGAUGGCGGCGGCUCACCGAAUACCCCGCCGGCGGAGGACGCUGGAGCUCCACUUCCGAGCAGGACGCCGGCAACACGCGUGGUGGUGAGAGAGCAGGAAGAAGAAGACGUUUUAACCCCGAUCUAACCGAGGAUUUGACAUUCAACCAGGGUUUCAAUUCUAGGUACCAAAUAUCUAACCAUCCAAACAGAAAUAUUGGUAUUGAUGUCAAUGCAAAUACCUCACGAUAUUGAUAUUACACCGA